CUUGAUGGAACCCAGCCAGAGGGGCAGGUCCUCCGGGCGGUUCUGGCCGUACGUGGCCAGCAGGGCCUGGGCCUC
This 75-nucleotide antisense RNA is filed under the name Streptomyces sp. PRh5. RNAcentral's name for it is "ASpks sRNA". It matches the Rfam family "ASpks TB sRNA". The record is from RNAcentral. Lineage: Bacteria; Bacillati; Actinomycetota; Actinomycetes; Kitasatosporales; Streptomycetaceae.